AGAGUUUGAUCAUGGCUCAGAGUGAACGCUGGCGGUAGGCCUAACACAUGCAAGUCGAACGGCAGCACAGGAGAGCUUGCUCUCUGGGUGGCGAGUGGCGGACGGGUGAGGAAUACAUCGGAAUCUACCUUUUCGUGGGGGAUAACGUAGGGAAACUUACGCUAAUACCGCAUACGACCUACGGGUGAAAGUGGGGGACCGCAAGGCCUCACGCGAUUAGAUGAGCCGAUGUCCGAUUAGCUAGUUGGUGGGGUAAAGGCCUACCAAGGCGACGAUCCGUAACUGGUCUGAGAGGAUGAUCAGUCACACUGGAACUGAGACACGGUCCAGACUCCUACGGGAGGCAGCAGUGGGGAAUAUUGGACAAUGGGCGAAAGCCUGAUCCAGCCAUGCCGCGUGUGUGAAGAAGGUCUUCGGAUUGUAAAGCACUUUAAGUUGGGAGGAAGGGCAGUAAGUUAAUACCUUGCUGUUUUGACGUUACCAACAGAAUAAGCACCGGCUAACUUCGUGCCAGCAGCCGCGGUAAUACGAAGGGUGCAAGCGUUAAUCGGAAUUACUGGGCGUAAAGCGCGCGUAGGUGGUUCAGCAAGUUGGAUGUGAAAUCCCCGGGCUCAACCUGGGAACUGCAUCCAAAACUACUGAGCUAGAGUACGGUAGAGGGUGGUGGAAUUUCCUGUGUAGCGGUGAAAUGCGUAGAUAUAGGAAGGAACACCAGUGGCGAAGGCGACCACCUGGACUGAUACUGACACUGAGGUGCGAAAGCGUGGGGAGCAAACAGGAUUAGAUACCCCGGUAGUCCAA
RNAcentral lists this ribosomal RNA (801 nucleotides) under uncultured bacterium. RNAcentral describes it as "bacterial SSU rRNA". It matches the Rfam family "Bacterial small subunit ribosomal RNA", at positions 8 to 798 of the family's 1533-position model. The record is from RNAcentral.